Hypanus sabinus (Atlantic stingray) is the source of this 239-nucleotide long non-coding RNA. RefSeq lists it as uncharacterized. The record is from RefSeq and is a predicted model, not a curated record. The transcript has 3 exons. Lineage: Eukaryota; Metazoa; Chordata; Chondrichthyes; Myliobatiformes; Dasyatidae.
AGAUCAGUAGGUGCCUUCAACAUACUGCCUGGGGAGAUGAUGGAACCAGGCUCUAAAUUGGAUGUCUCACUAUCCAAAUGAGAGUAUUUUGUUGUGAAAAGGUGGACACUGAAUUGUAGAUCUGCAGGAAGAUCUUCAGCCAACAACCAACUCAGGACUGGGUGUUCAAGCAGUUAUUUACACCACCAAGUUAUUUAACUUGGUUUAACAAGUGGCUUUAGACAUGGUAUUUCACCAUG